This 2985-nucleotide long non-coding RNA is filed under the name Lathyrus oleraceus (garden pea). RNAcentral describes it as "Pisum sativum (pea) long non-coding RNA (PSAT_LNC021818)". Lineage: Eukaryota; Viridiplantae; Streptophyta; Magnoliopsida; Fabales; Fabaceae. The record is from RNAcentral.
UGACAGAGAAACUUUGCUGUACAACAGAAGUUUUCUUAAUUCUGAAUCACACUCACAUUUUUAUUUGGUCUAUAGUGGAGAAAUUGGAGAUGAGUGUCUCUGCUGCUUUGUAUAAAUUAUCUUUGGUGAACGAAUUCUUGACGACUUGAUUUGGCUCGCUUUUUUCUACAUUCUCCCAAGUGGAUAUUUAUCGAAGUGGGGAUGCCGAAAUUUUUUCCGUUUCAUAUGGACUGUAUAUUUGUUCCACAAUAGUCCUCCCUUGAUAUUGCAUGCACAACGUUGCUGAACAGAAUUGUGGAGCAUAUCUCUUCUCGCUGCGGCCUUCUCCGUUUUUAAUCAAAUUGUGGCCGUGUUUGAUUUGAUGAUCUACAUCUAAAGAGAGUUAUUCUUGCACUAUUUUACUGUUUGUUUCUUUUAUUUCUGUUAUAUUGGAAUAGGAAUUCGUUUCCUCUCUAAGGAUUUCAUUGGGCACCAGAAUUCAUUAAUGGAACCAUCAUGUUCUGCAGACUGUAAGAUAAUCUCUAAGGAAUUCGAGUCAUAAACGUUUCUGUAGAAAACUUGUUUCAUUUUGUAGAGUGAACAGCGUGGUUUGGGAAAGUAUCUCCAUCCGGUAAUUGUGCUUUGAUCAUAGUUGAGUCCAAAAUAGUUGCAAUUGAUGGCAUUGUUCCAAACAUAAAUAUUCUGUUGGUUGUGUCCUAUGUCUCACUAUUUCUAGAUGUUUAAUCAGGGAUCUAUGUCAAAAAAAAUCUUCUAUUUGUAUAUAGAUACUUUAUUCUUUAUUGUUAUAUUUAAUCUGAAGAUCAUUGUGAUUCAUAUAGAUUUUGGAAUUCAAUAUAGUAAUGUGGUGUUUGAUAGUGUUGUUGAGUUCAUUUUGGAUUUUGUUUUGGAUUAGUCAAAAGUUCAUUAAGACUUGCAGCAAUCUUUGUGUAAUCUAAUCUAGAUGUUCAGUCUGCUCAAUAUUGGUAAACGGACUAGAACACCGGCUCUCUUUCAUCUCAACUGUUGAUCUACAACUACUUGGUAGUCUACAGACAAACCAAAGAUGAGUAGUAUCUCAACUAUAUACGUGUGAUUCUGCGUCACAAUCAGGUAUUUUUUAAUUCAUUUUUUUAUUCAUAUUUUUAAAGUUUCACCUCAUUCAUAUACUAACUUGAGCGUCGGACUGCUAACCUUUUUUGCAGGUACCCCUCUGACCCCAAAACGAAAGUCUUACCGCGGUAGUUGUCUUCGUCUUCAGCCUUACAUCGUUUCAGUAUGGAAUAGUUAUAAUUGAAUGUUCUAAAUCUUCUUCAUAAUAGUCUUUUGCAUGCAUGCUGAAGUUCUGAUGUUUUUUUUUGUUUUGUCAAUGGAGUGCUAGAUAAUGUUUCUUAGAUUGCUGAUUGUGUUUACUUGAUAGAUUUGAGUUGCGACAGGUUGAUAGUGUUUUCUUAAUGGAUUUGCAUUGCGUUCAGGUUGCCGAUCGCGUUUUCUUAAUGGAUUUGCGAUGCAUGCUUCAGAUUGUUGAAGCACACACAUGAAACUGACUUGACACAAGUUUUCAUUUGAUAAGUAAGAGAUAUGUUUAACCAUUAUGCAGCAAAGCCAGGAUUAGCUUCAUAUCUAAAACCUUAAGAACAGAGAACAGCUCCAGAUAGAUAAAUCAAACUUCUUCAAAUUGAAUUUCGAACAUGUUUUGCUGCAGCAGCUUGGUUUGUCAAAACAAUAACCUUCUUCAAAGCAUGCAUCAGCCUGGCUUUUUGAUUUGGUGAUAUCUAUAAAAUAAUUUUUGUUUUCAAUUCUGAGAGCGUAUUUUUCUUGAAGUUGUCUUUUGAUCUUGUAUAAGUUGUUGAAGUUUGUGUUUCUUCCGUGUUGAGGUUUUUGUGUUUCUAUUAUCAGGGACUUAGAUCUUUGGCUAAGUGCAAAUUAUGGAAUUAGAUACCAUCUUUGAAUCUUUGAUAUAGCCCAAGCACGUCUCAGUGUCGUGUGUCAGAUACUGACGCUUCCUACUAUGGCUGCACUUUAAUUUGGUCAUCACUACCAAGACUUUUACGCUUUAGUCUUUGUUUGAUUUGAUACACAACAUCUACUUUUGUCGGAUUCUUUGAGUUGUGUGAGUUUUGCAGGGAGAUGCAUUUAUCCCGUUUCGCAGAAAGCAUGGUGGAUAUCCAGAAUGCCUUGAUACAACAACCAGAACAGGAAAUAACUCUAGAUAGCUAAAUCAAUUUUUUAUGGGUCAUUCUUUACUAUUUUUAUUUCCGACCUUUGAUUGCAAGGCAUACAAAUUAAUUUCUGAAGUGUUUUGCUUCAGCGUGGUUGUUUCCAACUAAUAACCUUCUUCAGGGCAUGGAGCUUAGCAUUUCAAUUUUUGAUUUGGUGAUCUCCAUUAAAUUCUUUUUAUAUUGAUUCUAUUUUUUGGUUCUGAAACCAUAUCUUCUUUGAUUUGGUGUUUACUCUCUGGUGUUGCAGGAUAUUUAAUAUGUUAACAGACGAUUUCUUCUUGUUCUAUUUUCCUCUUGUUUGAUCUUCAUGGCUGUUGAUUUUUGCUUUCUUGAUUCUUAGGUUUGAUUUGGUUUUUGUUAGUUUUGACCUUGGAAGUUACUGUCUACUAUUAUUUUGUUAGGGUUUUAAAUGAUUGUUCUUUUGUGUAUACAUAUGGGUGACCUUGGAAGUCACUUUUUUCUACAUUCUCCCAAGUGGAUAUUUAUCGAAGUGGGGAUGCCGAAAUUUUUACCGUUUCAUAUGGACUGUGUAUAUUUGUUCCACAAUAGUCCUCCUUUAUUGCAUGCUUAACAUUGCUGAACAGAAUUGUGGAGCAUAUCUCUUCUCGCUACCUUCUCCGUUUUUAAGCAAAUUGUGGCCGUGUUUGAUUUGAUGAUCUACAUCUAAAGAGAGUUAUUCUUGCACUCUUUUACUGUUUGUUUCUUUUAUUUCUGAUAUAUUGGAAUAGGAAUUCGUUUCCUCUCUAAGGAUUUCAUCGGGCACCAGAAUUCAUUAUUAGAACCAUCA